Saccostrea cuccullata (small rock oyster) is the source of this 758-nucleotide long non-coding RNA. RefSeq lists it as uncharacterized. The record is from RefSeq and is a predicted model, not a curated record. The transcript has 2 exons. NCBI's taxonomy places the organism in Eukaryota, Metazoa, Mollusca, Bivalvia, Ostreida, Ostreidae.
UUUUCUUUAAACAAAAAUCAUGACUGUUACUUUAAAGUAAAUAUUGCAUUGAUAUUGAUAUUUUUUUAUAUUUGAAAAUAUGAAGAAGAAAAAAAAUCAUUCAAAAAAAUAAAAAAAGAGAGAAACAAAGCUAACACUGUUAAAGUAGUAUUUAAAAAAAAUUGUGAGUUAUUCCAAUAAUAUUGAGUAUGAUCAUAGAUCUUUAUCAGAAAGAGCAUAUGAUAAUUUUCCAAUGCAUCCAUUUUUCCAAGUGUUAGUUUUGUUUAUUUUAUGGGCCGAAACUGUCCUGGUGGUUUUAAAUUUAUGUAAAUUUCUUUUUUAAAUUAUUAGAUAAAAAUUUAAAAUAACAUUAAUUGAUUCUUUUUUUAUACACCAGGAAGGUAUCAGGGAAAUACAAAAUAAUUUCAUUUUUAACUUCAUCAGAUUGAUCUCUUCCCUGACUGAUGAGGCCCAGAGAGACAAUCUGAGGAAUUGAACAAAUGUGACAGUCAGGCAGAUUCAUUUGCUGCCAAAUUGCUGCAGAUUUUCUUCUGACUACUGAAAAUGCCUUAAUUAUGAGGCCCACGCCAGCGCUCAGUCCAUCCUAUGGUGAUUAAUUGUACAAGUUCUAGUACAACAUACAGCCUGCAGAAGAGAUAAUUGGUGGAAUGCAGUGCCAGUGACAUACCCCUUAAAGAACAGUCAUAAUUUGUACAUGUUGUGCAUCUGAAUCAUUUGUCAUUAGCAGGGGUUUACAAAUAAAUUGUGACAAAAAAGUA